GGGGGUAUUGCUCAGUGGUACAGCGUGUGCUUAGCAUGCAUGAGGUCCUGAGUUCAAUCCCCAGUACCUCCA
Molecule: transfer RNA, 72 nt
Filed under: Camelus dromedarius (Arabian camel)
Lineage: Eukaryota; Metazoa; Chordata; Mammalia; Artiodactyla; Camelidae
Also listed under: 1 other name
Rfam family: tRNA
About the family: Transfer RNA (tRNA) molecules are approximately 80 nucleotides in length. Their secondary structure includes four short double-helical elements and three loops (D, anti-codon, and T loops).
Source: Rfam by way of RNAcentral